This 613-nucleotide ribosomal RNA is filed under the name Gemella haemolysans. RNAcentral describes it as "bacterial SSU rRNA". It matches the Rfam family "Bacterial small subunit ribosomal RNA", at positions 36 to 629 of the family's 1533-position model. The record is from RNAcentral. Lineage: Bacteria; Bacillati; Bacillota; Bacilli; Caryophanales; Gemellaceae.
CUGGCGGCGUGCCUAAUCAUGCAAGUCUCGCGAAGUUUUUCUGGUGCUUGCACUAGAAAAACUUAGCGGCGAACGGGUGAGUAACACGUAAAGAACCUGCCUYAUAGACUGGGACAACUAUUGGAAACGAUAGCUAAUACCGGAUAACAGCAUUAACUGCAUGGUUGAUGUUUAAAAGUUGGUUUUGCUAACACUAUGAGAUGGCUUUGCGGUGCAUUAGCUAGUUGGUGGGGUAAAGGCCUACCAAGGCGACGAUGCAUAGCCGACCUGAGAGGGUGAUCGGCCACACUGGGACUGAGACACGGCCCAGACUCCUACGGGAGGCAGCAGUAGGGAAUCUUCCGCAAUGGGCGAAAGCCUGACGGAGCAACGCCGCGUGAGUGAAGAAGGAUUUCGGUUCGUAAAGCUCUGUUGUUAGGGAAGAAUGAUUGUGUAGUAACUAUACACAGUAGAGACGGUACCUAACCAGAAAGCCACGGCUAACUACGUGCCAGCAGCCGCGGUAAUACGUAGGUGGCAAGCGUUGUCCGGAAUUAUUGGGCGUAAAGCGCGCGCAGGUGGUUUAAUAAGUCUGAUGUGGAAAGCCCACGGCUCAACCGUGGAGGGUCAUUGG